RNAcentral lists this ribosomal RNA (855 nucleotides) under uncultured bacterium. Its description in RNAcentral is "bacterial SSU rRNA". It matches the Rfam family "Bacterial small subunit ribosomal RNA", at positions 1 to 848 of the family's 1533-position model. The record is from RNAcentral.
UGGAUCCAGACUUUGAUUUGGCUCAGGAUGAACGCUAGCUACAGGCUUAACACAUUGCAAGUCGAGGGGAAACGAUAGAGAAAGCUGCUUUUUCUAGGCGUCGACCGGCGCACGGGUGAGUAACGCGUAUCCAACCUGCCCAUCACUUGGGGAUAACCUUGCGAAAGUAAGACUAAUACCCAAUGACGUCUCUAGAAGACAUCUGAAAGAGAUUAAAGAUUUAUCGGUGAUGGAUGGGGAUGCGUCUGAUUAGCUUGUUGGCGGGGUAACGGCCCACCAAGGCGACGAUCAGUAGGGGUUCUGAGAGGAAGGUCCCCCACAUUGGAACUGAGACACGGCCAAACUCCUACGGGAGGCAGCAGUGAGGAAUAUUGGUCAAUGGACGAGAGUCUGAACCAGCCAAGUAGCGUGCAGGAUGACGGCCCUAUGGGUUGUAAACUGCUUUUAUAAGGGAAUAAAGUGGGAGUCGUGACUCCUUUUGCAUGUACCUUAUGAAUAAGGACCGGCUAAUUCCGUGCCAGCAGCCGCGGUAAUACGGAAGGUCCGGGCGUUAUCCGGAUUUAUUGGGUUUAAAGGGAGCGUAGGCCGGAGAUUAAGCGUGUUGUGAAAUGUAGACGCUCAACGUCUGCACUGCAGCGCGAACUGGUUUCCUUGAGUACGCACAAAGUGGGCGGAAUUCGUGGUGUAGCGGUGAAAUGCUUAGAUAUCACGAAGAACUCCGAUUGCGAAGGCAGCUCACUGGAGCGCAACUGACGCUGAAGCUCGAAAGUGCGGGUAUCGAACAGGAUUAGAUACCCUGGUAGUCCGCACGGUAAACGAUGGAUGCCCGCUGUUGGUCUGAAUAGGUCAGCGGCC